This 228-nucleotide ribosomal RNA is filed under the name uncultured bacterium. RNAcentral's name for it is "partial 16S ribosomal RNA". It matches the Rfam family "Bacterial small subunit ribosomal RNA", at positions 119 to 334 of the family's 1533-position model. The record is from RNAcentral.
AGGUGACCUACCCCUGGGCGGGGGACAACCUUCCGAAAGGAGGGCUAAUACCGCAUGAGACCACACCAUCAGGGAAGUGGUUAAAGUGGGCCUCUUCAUGAAAGCUCACACCCCGGGGAUGGGCCUGCGGCGCAUCAGGUAGUUGGUGAGGUAAAAGCUCACCAAGCCAAAGACGCGUAGCUGGUCUGAGAGGAUGAUCAGUCACACUGGAACUGAGACACGGUCCAG